UUACCCUGUAGUACCGAGCAAGUGGACAAUUUUGAAAAACACUGUUCGCUACUGGGGGUCAAA
RNAcentral lists this microRNA precursor (63 nucleotides) under Lottia gigantea (owl limpet). RNAcentral's name for it is "Lgi-Mir-10-P5_pre stem-loop". Lineage: Eukaryota; Metazoa; Mollusca; Gastropoda; Lottiidae. The record is from RNAcentral.